AUGUAGCUCUUUGGACGAUUCGCCCAAAAUAUAGGACGCACAUCCUCCUUGACACGGAAAAUAUUUGCAGGACGUCUCCAAGGCAAUGGCCUAGAAAUUUUGGACUCUUCGAUUAAUCCAAGAUUCAUCAAAAUGGCCAAUGCUGAUUUCUCCAUGUUCAAUGUAUAAAGAUGCAAGGUCUUGAUGCCAGUGGCUAAAAUCUUUUUGCACAUCUCAGUUCCAAGGUGAAUUCCAUAGGCUUUGACAGCCUCUUCAUUGUCCUUAAUAGGUUCCAAUGCAGCCAUUAUCUCAUCCGGAAUCUUAG
This 304-nucleotide unclassified non-coding RNA is filed under the name Hevea brasiliensis (rubber tree). The record is from RNAcentral. Lineage: Eukaryota; Viridiplantae; Streptophyta; Magnoliopsida; Malpighiales; Euphorbiaceae.